Lates calcarifer (barramundi perch) is the source of this 752-nucleotide long non-coding RNA. RefSeq lists it as uncharacterized. Lineage: Eukaryota; Metazoa; Chordata; Actinopteri; Centropomidae. The transcript is spliced from 4 exons. The record is from RefSeq and is a predicted model, not a curated record.
CCUUGCGCGCCGUCUUCCACUCUUUGUUCCGGUUCCGCCCGUCCCCGUGGUGGCUGUGGCCUGGCGUGGCAGAGUCAAGGUUGGUGGCAGCGCAAGCGUCUGUAGCCGUGCUUGCCAUUGAGGCGCACGGUUCCUCGUCAGCACACAGUGUGGCAGACUGCUGGUGCCGUGGGGUUGGGUUGGCCUGCUGGAAGCCCGCUUUGGCGUGGUUGUCUCCGCGUGUGUUGUUCGGCUGCAGCUGUGGAUGGUUCGGCGCGAGGCGGCGCCAGUGAAAGCCGAGCCUAGUCGCGUCCUCCGCCACUUCGUUUGAAGGGGCGCUGCUGUUCUGGCUCCCCCUGUUACCGCAUGCGGCUCCAUUUGGCCAUUUGCGGUCCGCCGCUGGCCUGAAGCUGCGGAUUACUUUUAGAUUCUUUUCCUGUUAGUUUUUUUUUCUUUAUUUCCUUUAUUGUUUAAGGUCCUGCGGGCCCACGGCGGCGACCCAAUUCCUGGUUCUUCACGAUCUAGUGUGUGAGUGUAUGGUACCACGGGUUGUUAAGUUUAGUUUCUCCUCUUCCCCCGAUUUUGGUUUCGUUGGGGCUGCUGUGGUCAGCCUCAGCCCUGUCCAGUGUAGUUCUCCCCCUCCCCCUUUGGGCCAAGUGUAUCUUUUUUUUUUUAAAUAUACAGCUGAUGCUCUAUCGAAUUUUAUACAUUUAUAUAUAUAUAUGUUUUUUGUCAUUUGUUAAAUAAAUUUGAUUUGUCCAGUCCCUUCCUAA